This 433-nucleotide ribosomal RNA is filed under the name uncultured bacterium. RNAcentral describes it as "partial 16S ribosomal RNA". It matches the Rfam family "Bacterial small subunit ribosomal RNA", at positions 29 to 507 of the family's 1533-position model. The record is from RNAcentral.
AACGAACGCUGGCGGCAUGCCUAACACAUGCCAGUCGAACGAGACCUUCGGGUCUAGUGGCGCACGGGUGCGUAACGCGUGGGAACCUGCCCUUAGGUUCGGAAUAACUCCCCGAAAGGGGUGCUAAUACCGGAUAAUGUCUUCGGACCAAAGAUUUAUCGACUUUGGAUGGGCCCGCGUUGGAUUAGCUAGUUGGUAGGGUAAAAGCCUACCAAGGCGACGAUCCAUAGCUGGUCUGAGAGGAUGAUCAGCCACACUGGGACUGAGACACGGCCCAGACUCCUACGGGAGGCAGCAGUGGGGAAUAUUGGACAGUGGGCGAAAGCCUGAUCCAGCAAUGCCGCGUGAGUGAUGAAGGCCUUAGGGUUGUAAAGCUCUUUUACCCGGGAUGAUAAUGACAGUACCGGGAGAAUAAGCUCCGGCUAACUCCGUG